RNAcentral lists this ribosomal RNA (253 nucleotides) under uncultured bacterium. RNAcentral describes it as "partial 16S ribosomal RNA". It matches the Rfam family "Bacterial small subunit ribosomal RNA", at positions 524 to 776 of the family's 1533-position model. The record is from RNAcentral.
UACGGAGGGUGCAAGCGUUAUCCGGAUUCACUGGGUUUAAAGGGUGCGUAGGCGGACAGGUAAGUCAGUGGUGAAAUCUCUGGGCUUAACCCAGAAACUGCCGUUGAUACUAUUUGUCUUGAAUAUCCUGGAGGUAGGCGGAAUAUGUCAUGUAGCGGUGAAAUGCUUAGAUAUGACAUAGAACACCGAUAGCGAAGGCAGCUUACUACAGGAUGAUUGACGCUGAGGCACGAAAGCGCGGGGAUCAAACAGG